UCGCGUCUACGGUUGAGCGGCCCUCUC
RNAcentral lists this small RNA (27 nucleotides) under Bombyx mori (domestic silkworm). RNAcentral's name for it is "ovarian small RNA-7589". Lineage: Eukaryota; Metazoa; Arthropoda; Insecta; Lepidoptera; Bombycidae. The record is from RNAcentral.